AUGACGUUACUUGGUGACAACGAUAUAGGGCGUGUGUAGCAGCUAGUGGUUGUGAUAUGAAGGUUUUUCUUGGAAAGAUUUUUUGGCUGGUCACAGACAGCUGAUGUGUUGUGCAUUGAAGUCCACAAGCGAUGGGAAAAGGACCUGAGCCCUAGGACCAUGCCUCAGGACUACCUGACAUGAUGACUCCUUGCUGUCCCCAGUCCACCUGGCCGUGCUGCUGCUCCAUUUUCAACUGUUCUGCCUGCGGCUAUGGAACCCUGACCUGUUCACCGGACGUGCUACCUGUCCCAGACCUGCUGUUUUCAACUCUCUAGAGACAGCAGGAGCGGUAGAGAUACUCUCAAUGAUCGGCUAUGAAAAGCCAACUGACAUUUACUCUUGAGGUGUUGACUUGUUACACCCUCGACAACUGUGAAUAUUAUUAUUUGACCAUGCUGGUCAUUUAUGAACAUUUGAACAUCUUGGCCAUGUGCUGUUAUAAUCUCCACCCAGCACAGCCAGAAGAGGACUGGCCACCCCUCAUAGCCUCGUUCCUCUCUAGGUUUCUUCCUAGGUUUUGGCCUUUCUAGGGAGUUUUUCCUAGCCACCGUGCUUCUACACCUCCAUUGCUUGCUGUUUGGGGUUUUAGGCUGGGUUUCUGUACAGUACUUUGAGAUAUCAGCUGAUGUAAGAAGGGCUAUAUAAAUACAUUGAUUUGAUAACAAUCUAAUAUAUUGAAGAGAAAUUAGAAAAAUUGCAAUAAAACGGUGGUCCUUCUCCCUAAAUUUCAGCACUGCAUUUGAAAGAGCAGCCCCUUCUCUGCCUUACUCAAUCACCCACACAACUGACAAACACAACUGCAUCUCUCUCUUUCUCCAUAUCCCUCCUACCCUCCCUCACAUCACCUCCUCAUUGCGCUCUGCUUCUAUAAUUCAAAUUCUGUCAGCCUUGUUCCAGACUGCUGGCGCCAGCCUCUCUCUCCAAGACAAAAAAAAGAAGCGAGCAAGAGCGAGGGAGGGAGGGAGGGGGGAAAGGCAGAAGAAAAGAAAGCUGUGUGAGAGACAAAGCCGACGGAGCCACACACACAGCAAGAUGGAGCCGAGAAAGAAGUAGACAGGGAGUUUUGAUAAAGCCAGCUACGAGAUCUGAUUUUUCAGGGCCCAAUAUGCCUAUUUUCCGUUUUCUGCCUCCCAUUUCUCUCUUUUUCCACUCAUUUCCAUUCCUUUUGUUUUACUAAUUGUCUCUCCCUUUGACCUGCCCCCUCUGCUGCCUUCACUGGUUAAAAGCAAUAAAAUAUUAUCCCCC
This 1287-nucleotide long non-coding RNA is filed under the name Salmo salar (Atlantic salmon). RNAcentral's name for it is "lncRNA (ENSSSAG00000085256.1)". The record is from RNAcentral. Lineage: Eukaryota; Metazoa; Chordata; Actinopteri; Salmoniformes; Salmonidae.